Molecule: long non-coding RNA, 214 nt
Organism: Lagenorhynchus albirostris (white-beaked dolphin)
Lineage: Eukaryota; Metazoa; Chordata; Mammalia; Artiodactyla; Delphinidae
Exons: 3
Source: RefSeq, a predicted model, not a curated record
GGUAGAUUCCUAAUUGCUGCUCCAUUUAUUGAAAAAUAGAUCUUUCCCCAAAGAUCUGAAAUUCCAGCUCUGUGAUAAAGCACAUUCCACUGACUAUGGGGCUUGGUGAAAGCUACCGUGUUCGCUACUGGGCGUUGUUAGAGAGUGAAUGCUUAACUGUGGAACACCAUGCAGUUGCCCAUGCAGCGUAGAUGUGGUCAGCAACUUGAUUGGG